Molecule: non-coding RNA, 329 nt
Organism: Biomphalaria pfeifferi
Lineage: Eukaryota; Metazoa; Mollusca; Gastropoda; Planorbidae
Source: the annotation of a GenBank genome assembly
GCUUCAGUGGCACGGUUUUCAGCCUGAAUAAUUAGGAUUACAUAUAAAUGAAUAUGACCAAAAUUGAACCUAAGAUAAAAUAUUUGAGGACAAAAUAUGAACUGAAAAUUCAAGGAAACAAGUUAGUGAACAUAAAAUGAUAUUAACUUAAAACAUUUUAAAAAAUGUUUCAAAUGAAAUAUCCUGCCACAGCUACAAUAAUUUAAGAAAUUUAUACCAAGCAUCUUUCAAAAUUGACAUCAGCCAGCUGAAACUUGCUUACACAGCUACAAAAUACUGUAGGAACAAUCAUGCCUUAUACUUACAUCCUUAAGCCUCUGUGUCAAGUC